This 324-nucleotide non-coding RNA is filed under the name Seinonella peptonophila. Its description in RNAcentral is "Bacterial small subunit ribosomal RNA". It matches the Rfam family "Bacterial small subunit ribosomal RNA", at positions 1 to 317 of the family's 1533-position model. The record is from Rfam by way of RNAcentral. Lineage: Bacteria; Bacillati; Bacillota; Bacilli; Caryophanales; Thermoactinomycetaceae.
UUAAUGAAGAGUUUGAUCCUGGCUCAGGACGAACGCUGGCGGCGUGCCUAAUACAUGCAAGUCGAGCGCGGGAAGCCUCUUCGGAGGUGGAACGAGCGGCGAACGGGUGAGUAACACGUGGGCAACCUGCCCGCAAGACUGGGAUAGCUCCGGGAAACCGGAAUUAAUACCAGAUAAACAUCUUUUCCGCAUGGAAAAGAUGAGAAAGGUGGCUUCGGCUGCUACUUGCGGAUGGGCCCGCGGCGCAUUAGCUAGUAGGUGAGGUAAAGGCUCACCUAGGCAACGAUGCGUAGCCGACCUGAGAGGGUGAUCGGCCACACUGGG